Molecule: long non-coding RNA, 360 nt
Filed under: Olea europaea (common olive)
Lineage: Eukaryota; Viridiplantae; Streptophyta; Magnoliopsida; Lamiales; Oleaceae
Description: long non-coding RNA (OEUR_LNC006729)
Source: RNAcentral
UAUAAAAUGAUAUUACACGCGAGUCAAAAAAUUUUCAUUCUUUUUCAAUCACACAUUAUUAAAAAAACUACUAUUUCAAUCAUUAAAAUUUGGCAGGAGUAGAGGCCAAACAGGAGCAAGACUUAACUUAUUAUAAUUUGAUAUGACAUGACAAGACUGGUACCCAUGGAUAUAAAUUAUCUCCAAAUCUUGGAAAGCAUUUACAAAAGUGAUUCUUUCCUAAAAUUUCAACUCUUAUCAUUUAACCUUAUUUUUGCAUAUUUUAAACAUCUAUGCAUAUCUUUAAAGAGAAUCACAUUCCGAAGAAUUUUAUCGUUGACUCUAAUUAAUUUUCUUCUUUUCAUAGGAGUUGAAGAUUGU